GCGAGGGUGGCCGAGCCUGGCCAAAGGCGGCGGGCUUAAGACCCGCUCCCGUAGGGGUCCGCGCGUUCAAAUCGCGUCCCUCGCA
This 85-nucleotide transfer RNA is filed under the name Halobacteriales archaeon QH_6_68_27. RNAcentral's name for it is "tRNA-Leu". It matches the Rfam family "tRNA". Rfam says of the family: Transfer RNA (tRNA) molecules are approximately 80 nucleotides in length. Their secondary structure includes four short double-helical elements and three loops (D, anti-codon, and T loops). RNAcentral also lists the same sequence under 1 other name. The record is from RNAcentral. Lineage: Archaea; Methanobacteriati; Methanobacteriota; Halobacteria; Halobacteriales.